CUCGCUAGUCCACAAGCAAUCAUAUUACAGUAUGCCGUCAUCACCUCUCCUUCCGUUCCUCUUUCUCGAAUCUUCUCUCUCCACCGCUACCCUCCAUGAACGCCAUCGCUACCGCCCUAACGCCGUCGCCGAUGCCUCCGUCCGCCAAAACCCUGCGGGUGGUCGUCAAGGGGCGGGUGCAGGGUGUUUUCUUCCGCGAUUGGACGGUCCAGACCGCCCGGGAACUCGGUCUCAACGGUUGGGUCCGCAACCGGAGGGAUGGCUCCGUCGAGGCGCUCUUCUCCGGCGACCCCACCGCUGUCGACGAGAUGGUCGAGAGGCGCUGCAGGGUCGGGCCCCCCGCCGCCGUGGUCACUGCCCUCAGCGCCUUCCCCUCCGAAGAUGACCCUGGCCAAGGCUUCCAACGCAAACCCACGGUCUGAGUAGAAGCAUCUGAUUCGAGUUGAGCUUACAAAGAGCCUGAGCUACUGCAAGGUCUUCAUCAAGCAGAGUCGGUUCUAUGGAGCCGAUAAUAGUUGGGCUUUCGUUGGAAUAAAGAAUCUUCCUUCUUCUGCAUCACCUCCGGCCUUGGUCGACCUAUUCGUAUUGACCCUCGAUCCCUCCGCUUUGAGAGGGGCAGAUUCACUCAUGUUUGUAUUGAGAAAGACAUUACCAAGCCCCUCAUUCAAGGUAAUUGGUUUGGAGAAUCUUGUUCGAGCCUCUUUCAAGUGAUUUCAUAUGAAAAGUUUGCCCCACUGACAUUAAUUCCUCCACUACUCCUUGUCCCUGUUCCUCUGCCACAGGAGGUUCAACCAGAUUCGGCUGAUGAGAAAGGGAACGAUAAUCCAAUUUUUGAUCCAUGGAGAAAAGUUCUUCAUCGGCGACCUUUUAACAAAAAAUCUCUUCUUCCCUCAACCAGUCUUUUCUACAGAUUCUGCUACUUGUCCCACCCCUUCAGCUAUUGUUCUAAUGCCAUCAGCUGCAACCAACAAGGUUAUUGCACUUAAUGCCAUCCCAAAACAGACAACGCAUGCACCUGAUUUCACCAACCUCGAGUCUCAGCAGGCUAAUGGUGCGAAUUCAGAUCCGACCCAUUCUGCAAUUAAUACUUGUCCCAAGGAAGUAAUGCCAGGUGAAAAAGAUGAUGUGUCCAUCUUACAGCAUGCUUCCACCACAUACAUUCGCUCCACCCUCUAACUCAUCGCCUCUUUCUUUUACUUCUCCUUUACUUUCUUCCUCUUCCACUUCAACGGAAACCAGUGGCUCUCCUGAGGCACUCGUAUUCUUACUAAAGAUCAACUUUGUGGGGGCGUCCUUUGCAAAUGAUGAUCCAAGCACCGGGGCCUGCAGACUCCAACCUUCUUCGAGACUUCUUGGAUCAACGGAGAAAAAAAAUUCUUCCGGCUCUAAAAUCACCAUAAGCUCUGCUGUCUGCUAUUACUUUUCCUUCUGAUGGAUUUUUACCGAAUACUCCCUCUAGUUAAAAUGAUUGUUCUAUUUUAGAAUUAUUAUGACA
This is an RNA transcript of Musa acuminata AAA Group (dessert banana), 1495 nucleotides long. RefSeq lists it as uncharacterized. NCBI's taxonomy places the organism in Eukaryota, Viridiplantae, Streptophyta, Magnoliopsida, Zingiberales, Musaceae. The record is from RefSeq and is a predicted model, not a curated record. The transcript has 4 exons.